UUUCUUUUAGCUGCCAUUAGGGCUCCAAUCCCUGAGUUGAGCAAUUUUCUUUUAGCCGACAUUAGGGCUCCAAUCCCUGAGUUGAGCGAUUUUCCUUUAGCCGACAUUUGGGCUCCAAUCCCUGAGUUGAGCGAUUUUCCUUUAGCCGACAUUAGGGCUCCAAUCCCUGAGUUGAGCAAUUUUCUUUAGCCGACAUUAGGGCUCCAAUCCCUGAGUUGAGCAAUUUUCUUUAGCCGACAUUAGAGCUCCAAUCCCUGAGUUGAGCAAUUUUCCUUUAGCCGACAUUAGGGCUCCAAUCCCUGAGUUGUGAAAUUUUCCUUUAGCCGACAUUAGGGCUCCAAUCCAUAAGUUGAGUGAUUUUUCUUUAGCCGACAUUAGGGCUCCAAUCCCUGAGUUGAGCAAUUUUCUUUUAGCCGACAUUAGGGCUCCAAUCCCUGAGUUGAGCAAUUUUCUUUUAGCCGAUAUUAGGGCUCCAAUCCAUAAGUUGAGUGAUUUUUCUUUAGCCGACAUUAGGGCUUCAAUCCCUGAGUUGAGCAAUUUUCUUUUAGCCGACA
Molecule: long non-coding RNA, 554 nt
Filed under: Nicotiana tabacum (common tobacco)
Lineage: Eukaryota; Viridiplantae; Streptophyta; Magnoliopsida; Solanales; Solanaceae
Description: long non-coding RNA (NTAB_LNC005318)
Source: RNAcentral